CAAAACAAACAACUAAAAACCGAAAACUAUUUAUAAAUCUACAGGAAUAAUAUUUCACCCACAUAAACGCGCGCACCCAGACAUACACGUACUCACCCACACAUAAACACCUGAGUGCGCCUAAGUGCAUGCAACGAAUUUUUUGUGCCUUCGUUUUGUAUUCCAUUUUUUUAGUUUUCUUCUUUUUGUUUUUGUUGUUCUUACCCUCAACUUGCGCUUGGUUUGGAUGUGCGGAAUAUAUUUUGCGCCUACGCCAAUUUCACAAUUAAAACAUUAAAAUAAGA
Long non-coding RNA from Drosophila willistoni, 284 nucleotides. RefSeq lists it as uncharacterized. Lineage: Eukaryota; Metazoa; Arthropoda; Insecta; Diptera; Drosophilidae. The transcript is spliced from 2 exons. The record is from RefSeq and is a predicted model, not a curated record.